Molecule: non-coding RNA, 45 nt
Filed under: Schistosoma bovis
Lineage: Eukaryota; Metazoa; Platyhelminthes; Trematoda; Strigeidida; Schistosomatidae
Also listed under: 1 other name
Source: RNAcentral
AUUCAGCUGACGAGUUUCAAAUAGGACGAAAUGAGAGUCCUGAAU